AUGAACGCUGGCGGCGUGCCUAAUACAUGCAAGUCGAGCCAACAGAUGAGGAGCUUGCUCCUCUGACGUUAGCGGCGGCCGGGUGAGUAACACGUGGAUAACCUACCUAUAAGACUGGGAUAACUUCGGGAAACCGGAGCUAAUACCGGAUAAUAUAUUUAACCGCAUGGUUCAAUAGUGAAAGACGGUUUUGCUGUCACUUAUAGAUGGCUCCGCGCCGCAUUAGCUAGUUGGUAAGGUAACGGCUUACCAAGGCAACGAUGCGUAGCCGACCUGAGAGGGUGAUAGGCCACACUGGAACUUAGACACGGUCCAGACUCCUACGGGAGGCAGCAGUAGGGAAUCUUCCGCAAUGGGCGAAAGCCUGACGGAGCAACGCCGCGUGAGUGAUGAAGGUCUUCGGAUCGUAAAACUCUGUUAUUAGGGAAGAACAAAUGUGUAAGUAACUAUGCACGUCUUGACGGUACCUAAUCAGAAAGCCACGGCUAACUACGUG
Molecule: ribosomal RNA, 496 nt
Filed under: uncultured bacterium
Lineage: Bacteria
Description: partial 16S ribosomal RNA
Rfam family: Bacterial small subunit ribosomal RNA
Source: RNAcentral